CGCAAGAUUAAWACUCAAAGGAAUUGACGGGGACCCGCACAAGCGGUGGAUGAUGUGGAUUAWUUCGAUGCAACGCGAAAAACCUUACCUACCCUUGACAUGUCUGGAAAGCCGAAGAGAUUUGGCCGUGCUCGCAAGAGAACCGGAACACAGGUGCUGCAUGGCUGUCGUCAGCUCGUGUCGUGAGAUGUUGGGUUAAGUCCCGCAACGAGCGCAACCCUUGUCWUUAGUUGCUACGCAAGAGCACUCUAAUGAGACUGCCGGUGACAAACCGGAGGAAGGUGGGGAUGACGUCAAGUCCUCAUGGCCCUUAUGGGUAGGGCUUCACACGUCAUACAAUGGUCGGGACAGAGGGUCGCCAACCCGCGAGGGGGAGCCAAUCUCAGAAACCCGAUCGUAGUCCGGAUYGCAGUCUGCAWCUCGACUGCGUGAAGUCGGAAUCGCUAGUAAUCGCGGAUCAGAAUGUCGCGGUGAAUACGUUCCCGGGUCUUGUACACACCGCCCGUCACACCAUGGGAGUGGGUUUCACCAGAAKUAGGUAGCCUAACCGUAAGGAGGGCGCUUUACCACGGUGGGAUUCAUGACUGG
Molecule: ribosomal RNA, 588 nt
Filed under: Alcaligenes sp. BAB-5501
Lineage: Bacteria; Pseudomonadati; Pseudomonadota; Betaproteobacteria; Burkholderiales; Alcaligenaceae
Description: bacterial SSU rRNA
Rfam family: Bacterial small subunit ribosomal RNA
Source: RNAcentral